RNAcentral lists this unclassified non-coding RNA (237 nucleotides) under rhizosphere metagenome. Its description in RNAcentral is "partial ribosomal RNA internal transcribed spacer region". The record is from RNAcentral.
GUAGGUGAACCUGCGGAAGGAUCAUUAAAGAGUAAGGGUGCUCAGCGCCCGACCUCCAACCCUCUGUUGUUGGAACUACCUUGUUGCUUUGGCGGGACCGCUCGGUCCCGAGCCGCUGGGGAUUCGUCCCAGGCGAGCGCCCGCCAGAGUUAAACCAAACUCUUGCUAUAUAAACCGGUCGUCUGAGUUAAAAUUUUGAAUAAGUCAAAACUUUCAACAACGGAUCUCUUGGUUCUC